CCUACGGGAGGCAGCAGUGAGGAAUAUUGGACAAUGGGCGCAAGCCUGAUCCAGCCAUGCCGCGUGCAGGAAGAAGCAUCUAUGGUGUGUAAACUGCUUUUGUACAGGAAGAAACACUCCCUCGUGAGGGAGCUUGACGGUACUGUAAGAAUAAGGACCGGCUAACUCCGUGCCAGCAGCCGCGGUAAUACGGAGGGUCCGAGCGUUAUCCGGAAUCAUUGGGUUUAAAGGGUCCGUAGGCGGUUUAAUAAGUCAGUGGUGAAAUCUGGUCGCUCAACGAUCAAACGGCCAUUGAUACUGUUAGACUUGAAUUAUAAGGAAGUAACUAGAAUAUGUAGUGUAGCGGUGAAAUGCUUAGAUAUUACAUGGAAUACCAAUUGCGAAGGCAGGUUGCUACUUAUGGAUUGACGCUGAUGGACGAAAGCGUGGGGAGCGAACAGGAUUAGAUACCCUGGUAGUCCACGCCGUAAACGAUGGAUACUAGCUGUUCGGAGCAAUCUGNGUGNGUAGAGAAGUAGAUAAGUAAUACCACCUCGGGAGGUACGGUUCGUCGAAGAAGUAGAAACGUACGAAAGAAAGUUAGUACGGACGUGAGACGUAGACCGACGGACGACGACGAGGGAGGAGGGAGG
This 632-nucleotide ribosomal RNA is filed under the name uncultured bacterium. RNAcentral's name for it is "bacterial SSU rRNA". The stretch from base 1 to 533 matches the Rfam family "Bacterial small subunit ribosomal RNA", at positions 338 to 873 of the family's 1533-position model. The record is from RNAcentral.